Molecule: ribosomal RNA, 112 nt
Filed under: Caerostris extrusa
Lineage: Eukaryota; Metazoa; Arthropoda; Arachnida; Araneae; Araneidae
Source: RNAcentral
AACGGCCAUACCAUGCUGAAUAUACCGGUUCUCGUUAGAUCACCGAAGUCAAGCAUCAUUGGGCGCGGUCAGUACCCAGUGGGUGGCCACCUGGGAACACCGCGUGCCGUUG